UUCCGCUGUACAUAGCACGGCCAUGUCUAUAUUUUCUAGUGUCACACUCAAUUUUUUGUUGCUCCAUUUUUGAGGGGUUUCCUCUCUUUUUUUUGUGUGUUUUGUUGUGUUGAUGGCACUCCAUGGCAUUUUUUCUCCAUGCAUUUGCAUUUUCCACUAAUUUGACUUUUGUAUUGUUGCGGUCGGUGUGCACCCCUUCCACUGCCCUGCCUCUGGCCUGCAGCUCGUUUAUG
RNAcentral lists this long non-coding RNA (233 nucleotides) under Drosophila guanche. The record is from RNAcentral. Lineage: Eukaryota; Metazoa; Arthropoda; Insecta; Diptera; Drosophilidae.